Molecule: non-coding RNA, 7395 nt
Organism: Oryctolagus cuniculus (rabbit)
Lineage: Eukaryota; Metazoa; Chordata; Mammalia; Lagomorpha; Leporidae
Source: RefSeq, a predicted model, not a curated record
AUUCUGUGACGGCCUCACUGGUGGAGGACAAUGCUGCUGGUGACUGGUAGAUGGGAAGGGGAGGAAAACUUACUGUGGUUCUGUACUGAAGAGGAUUGGAUCCAGCUUUAUAGGAGACAGAAAUACCUUACAAUCAUAACAUAAAAGAGACAACAAUUAAUUUCAGAAGAAGUUCAGAGUUGGAACUGAUAUGGUUCCUCCAUGCUGUUUUUGGCUACUCAGUUUCCCGAGAUCAUAAGACUAUCAUUCUAAGGUUGUAGCUUUUGUCUAUCAUCUUUAUGCCCCAGGAUGGCUGCUAGAGCUCCAGCCAUUUUAACUGUGUUUCUUUUAAAGAGGAGGAACUUCCUAGAAAUUCUAUAUAACUUCUGCUUAUGUCUUAUUGUUCAGAACUUUGCCCUAUGACCACAGUUAGCUGCAAGGUAGGUUGGAAUAUAUCGUAUUUAUUAUUUAUGGAAAGAAGCUGGAAUAAAAAGUGAGUUUAUGUUUUUGCAAAGGGGAAAAAUGGAUAUUGAGGGGUAAAUAGCAUUCUUUGAGAAGGUCCAUCCAUUUUGCUACCCAAGUACUCAUGUAAACACUUCUUGUACCUUCCUGCUCCGUAAAGUAUGAUGUUAAGGACUGGAGAUUCAGAGCCAUCCUGGAGCAAGAUGAGAACAUAAAAAAAGACACAACAGAGCAAGACGAGGCAAAUCCCUUGAGCCCCUGGUACCAUGGGCAGACUACUCCUGGACCGCUUGUGGGAGAGAAACACACCUCUGUUCAUUUGUUCCCAUGGUUGCAGCUGAAACUCACAUUAAUUGACACAAAUAUAACCUAAACCUAAAGAGGAGCUUUCUUUUUAAGGCUGUAUCUUACUGUGCUUCCAGGGCAGGUGGACCGACCACUCACCCAUCCAUCCGGGUCUUUCAGGGAUGCUGGCAUUCAAAGGUGACCAAGGUGUAGGUCUUACCCACAGGAGCUCACACUCUAACAAGGAACAGAAAGCCAGUCAAAUCAGGGGCCUGCAGGGAGAGCACAGAAACAUUUGCAACCUCCUCUACUGCCAUUUUUAGACUGGCGCAAAAACAAAGUUUAUAAGUAAAUUUCAGAUAUUGAUCAUAGCAUCUUUUUCUCCAUCAUUAACAUUGUCAUGUUCAUCAUCUACAGUUAUUGCUUGGGUAAAUAAAAUUCAGGUGCUAUUACUUUUUAUAUUAGAAGGAUGAUUGUAUUGGAUUAAGCGUUUAUAAUCCCUUGAGAAUAUUUCACUAUAAUUGGAGUAGAACAUUUUUGCAUAAAACAAAAGAUAGACUGGCUAGCUGUAAUCAUAGUCAGGAGGUGGUGAACAUUUUAGGUGAAAAAAUAUACUUUUUAUGUGAAUCCCCAGGUAGGCUGAAUCCUUAUUUACAAUUCUUGUUGGCAUGACAACAUCCACAGCACUUCUGUGUUCUAAACAGUUCUUAUAUUGUUUAAUUUUUCAUAGCAACUUCUGUGUUGCAGAUGAGGAACCCAGAGUUCGUAGAGUCAAGGUAACCCACCAAGGUCACAUCCGUCAGUGGCCAGUAGUGGAGCCAGGAUUUGAACGCAUGUCUAAGCCGACUCUUGGAUUCCGUUCAAGUGUGAACAGUACCUUUGCCAGGAAGACUUAGCCGUGGAAGCAGAAGCGGGAGGGUGAUGGAAGCUGAGGAGGAAGCAGGUUCAGCUUUCGUGAGGUUUCCCUGCUCAGAGAGGAGGCCGUGGCUGCAGUUAUCAGGUAACUGAAGUGUCACCGCGAUGCUGUCAGAAAGGCGGGAUGGAUUGGUUCCUGUUGGUUCCGGCGUGGCAGCUAAGCAAGUUCGCAAGGUGCAGGACAUCGUUUGGAGUGUGAGAUACUGGAUCAUACAACCAGAAGAGUUCUUUAAUGCUUGACCCAACUUCCUGCGUUCACCAGUGAGGACCCUGACUCCUGGAAUGCUCAAAAACGGAACCACUGCAGAGCAUAACCUGCUUCCACGUCUUCCUUGCUGUAGGACCACGUCCCUAACAGGCCUGUGUGUGUGGUGGCUCCCAGAUCUUCAGGAAGCCGCUCCAGCACUCACGUAGGCCCACACCCUGUGCACGGCUGCAAACUCUCUUGCUCUUCUUUUAUCUUGAUGUCUUAUUAAUCAUGAUUUCAUUCCAUCACUAACUAUUAUCUCAAGUCAGAGUAGAUACAUUUUUUAAAUAUUUAUUUGAAAGAGAGAGAGAAAUCUUCCAUCUGCUGGUUCACUCCCCAAAUGGCUACAACAGCUAGGGCUGGGCUAGGAGAAGCCAGGAGCCCGGAACCCCAUCUGGGUCUCCCCCAUUGGUGACAGGUGCCCAAGCACUUAGGCCGUCUUCCACUGCUUUCCCAGGGAGCACUAGCAGCAUUAGCAGGGAGCUGGACAGGAAGUGGAGCAGCCGGGAUUCCAGCUUAACUCGCUGUGCCAUAGUGCCAGCCCCCAGUGUUUGUCACUAGUGACAUGCAUAGAAGUCCUUUUUUUUUUAAAGGAAAUAACCUUGAGAGCUUUUAUUAAAAUUGGCUUUUUGAAAGUGAAAUCUUCAGUUUUUUUUUUUUUUCCCACUUUGUAGGGUGAGUGAUGAGGAGCUUGUCCAUGGAGAGAGCAGUUUCAGUCCUGCCACAUUCCUACUGUGUCCUCGGGUUGCAGUAUUUCCAGCCUGUGGUUUCUUUCUGUGAAUCUUUUAUCAUUUUUUCAAUGAUUGGAGAGCCAAUUUAGUUAAGGUUACAUAUUGUAGUGCCCCAGUCCACUUAACUAGGCACAAGCAAACAAAAUCCUCUAAAAUGCUGGAAGCAAACUGUGGGGAGCAACUCGGACUAGACUAAGUUACUGGAAUUAAGACUUAUUCUAUGCAUCUGCUCUCCCACAAUAUGGCGCUGAGAAGGGAGAAACAGCUUCUACACAGCUGCCUCCAGUUCAACCAAUAAACUGUAGGACCUGCUCCUGAUUGGAGGAGAGCAGCGUACUCGGCGUGUGGGUAGCAGAGUUGGGAUUGGUGGAAGAGGACUAUAAAGGAGGAGAGAGACAACAUGCACCAGGAACAUCUAAGGGGAACACCUGAGGAACACCUGUGCAGCCCCUGAGAGAGCCGGCCAGCGGUGUGCCGCUUCCCCGCGGAAGUGGGGAAAGUGGCAGGGGGAACCGCCCUUCCACGGAGGUGGAAGGGACGGUAGCCAACCCGGGAAGAACCAGCAGCAAACCCGGGGAGGGCCGAGCAGACAAAAGAACAGCGCAGGGUCCUGUGUCGUUCCUCCACGAAGAGGGGGAGCGACAGCAAACCAAGGGCUGAGGACAGAUACAAUCCUCAACCUUGCUGGGUGCUGGGACAUUUUUGUUUUGCUCAGAAAGCCUCACCUAUCUUCAGUUUUGCAGUUUGCGUGAAAACUCUAGGUUAGUCUAGAUAUAAAACAUUUGUCAAGAUGAAUUAAUUUAUUUUAAAAAUAAAAACAUGUAGUGCUGGCCCUAUGGUUGAAUAAUUGAAAAAUCCUGUAGGCUUCUUGUAUGUUGAAUAAUCUCAACUAUAUUCCUUGCCCACUUCUUCAUGUGAUUUAGGCUUCUAUAGAAAACUAUGGAAGGAGGAGUAGACAAAAGUAUUCAGAUAAUGUCAUUUCCCUAGCAAAGUCUGAGGAGUGACUCAUUAUCCCUGUAAAAAUUCUCCCGGAGUUCCUUUGGGUGUGACGGACUAAAUGGUGCUCUAGGAGGAAGAUGGCGUUUCACAUGUAUAAAUAUUCAUCAUUUCUAUAUAUUAGGGUUGGAGAACUCAAACAUUUACAGGAAAUUAAAUUCUAUUUUCAUUAGAACUCCCCUGUUCAGAAUCCUUAACUUGGAUAGCCCUGACAUUUAAAUUGGAAUCUUCCCCUGUCUUCAUUCUGUUGACCAAAGUAAUACUGGGAAAGUACAGGAAUCAUCUGUUUACCAGAGUGAUACCUAUCCAUAUCCAACUAUGCUAAAUCAACCUCCAAAGCCUAGUGGUUGAGAUUCCUACCUCCCAUAAUAAGGCCACCAGGUUCAAUUCCUGCUGGCAUGGUCGUUUUUUCAAUUAAAUUUCCAUUAACUUUUCGCCUCUGUGUCAUUAGACACUAAUUCUUAAGCGCUGCAAAGAUGAAAGAGUAAGAGGGGUCUUCUGAUUCAUGCAUCACGUUGCUGUCAAGUGAAAUGUGACGAUGACAACUUUUUAAUGUGAGAGACAGGGAAGCCAGCAAGGGGACAGGUCUUUUAGACCUGACACUGACCAUGGUAGCUGCAAUAUGGGGAAGGUGAUUUGAAAGAUAGUGGUCAUACAGGGAAGGCAUUCAGGAUUUGAAACACUGAACCUCAGGCAAGGAGCUGAGACCCUGGAGGAGGAGGGACCCGACUGGCUUGUUGUGUGGAGAGGAGACGGAGGAGUGUUGGGUGUUCGGAGCUAGCUGUUGGGAAUGGAGGAAGACAGGUACUUCCACUAAAGGCAAGAACAGAUGGGGAGCUUAGAGUGACCCACUUGACCAACGUGCAUAUUCUUAGAUGCCGUAAGGCUCAAGCAGCAGGAUGUGAAAGAGCAAGUGCCAGAGACCAGUUGUUGUGCUUAAGCACAGAAGUGGUAAGAUGUAUAGAUCAUGAGAAAUGGGUAGAGCCUACAAUUUUACAAGUAGGCAAGUAAGGAAAGGAUAGAAAGGCAAAAGCCAAUCAAACACAACACCAAAAUGUGUUUGUGAAUCGGAGGUGUGCAGAAAUGCUAAUAGUUGAUAGACAGGAAGGCCAGCUCAAGACGAGUUUUAUAGAAGAGACCGUGUUCUUUCAUGUUUUUGUGAAAGUGAGUAAGUCGUUUUUUAGAGUUUUGCUACAUAAAUAUUAGCCAAAAGAGCCAAGAGAGACAGAGAAAAAGGUCUUCCUUCCAUUGGUUCACCCCCCAAAUGGCCGCUAUGACUGGAGCUACACCCAUCUGAAGCCAGGAGCCAGGUGCUUCCUCCUGGUCUCCCAUAUAGGUGCAGGCGCCCAAGCACGUGGGCCAUCCUCCACUGCCUUCCCGGGCCACAGCAGAGAGCUGUACUGGAAGAGGAGCAGCCAGGUCUAGAACUGGUGCCCAUAUGGGAUGCUGGAGCCGCAGGUGGAGGAUUAACCAAGUGAGCCACAGCGCCAUCCCCGUACUUUCAUUUUUUUUUUUUUAAGAUUUAUUUAUUUAUUUGAAAGGCAGAGUGACAGAAACAGAGAUCUUCUACCUGCUGGUUCACUCCCCAAAUGGUUGCAAUGGCCAGGACUUAGCCAGAUCAAUGCUGGGAGCCCAAAACUCCAUCUGGGUCUCCCACGUGAGUGGCAGGGGUCCAAGUACCUGGACCACCUUUCACUUCUUUCCCAGAUACAUUAGCAGGGAGGUGGAUCACAAGUGGAGUAGCUGGGACUUGAACCAACCCUCAGAUACGGGAUGCUGGCAUUGCAGGUAGUGUCUUAGCCCACUGCGUCACAACACUGGCCCCUAGAAUCAGCUUUUAAAUAUCUAUAACAAUGCCUAAUAUUUAUUGGGAGCUACUGUUCCAUGCACUAUUUAAAAUAUUGUCCAUUUACUGUUGUAAACACUGUGUAUCUCAGUUAUUCAUCACAGUUACUGUAUUAGGGAGUUCUCUGUGUCUUCCCAAUUCAUGGAUGAAAAUACUAAGGCAAGUUCAGGUUCAUAGGGCUGGCAUGUGGUAGAGCUAGCAGUGAGAACUCUCUGUUUGUAACUAGCACUCCGUGGAAUGACAUUUAGUAUUAUUUCAAAAAGUUUACAUCUGGAGUAAGUUUGGCUUUCAUAUUUUAAUGCAGCUUUGCCUGAUGCUCUGAUAAUGUUCACUUCAAAAUAAAAUAGCAGAAUCCAAAACAAACUGCAAUAAAGAGGCCGGGCUGGUUCUGGAGGAACUAUUCUUUCUUUUUUUUCUUUUAUAGAAAGCUUUUAGGCUGGCGCUGUGGCUCAACAGGCUAAUCCUCCACCUGCUGCGCUGGCACACCAGGUUCUAGUCCCGGUCUGGGCGCCAGAGUCUGUCCUGGUUGCCCCUCUUCCAGGCCAGCUCUCUGCUAUGGCCUGGGAGUGCAGUGGAGGAUGGCCCAGGUGCUUGGGCCCUGCACCCCUUGGGAGACCAGGAGAAGCACCUGGCUCCUGCCUUCAGAUCAGCGCAGUGUGCCGGCCGCAGCACGCCGGCCAUGGCGGCCAUUGGAGGGUGAACCAACGGCAAAGGAAGACCUUUCUCUCUGUCUCUCUCUCUCACUGUCCACUCUGCCUGUCCAAAAUAAAAAAUAAAAAUAAAAAAAGAAAGCUUUUAUUUAAUAAAUAUAGAUUUCAUAGGUACAACUUUUGGAUUAUAGCAGUUCUUACCCUCAUACACGUCUUCCCACCCCCAAACCAUCCCACCUCCUACUCCUUCUCCCAUCUCAUUCUUCAUUAAGAUUCAUUUUUAAUUAUCUUUAUAUAUAUAGAAGAUCAUCUCUAUACUAAGUAAAGAUUUCAACAGUUUGGACCGCCACACACAUACAACAUAAAGUACUGUUUGAAGACUAGUUUUACCAUUAAUUCUAAUAGUAUAACUAUUAAGGACAGAGGUCCUACAUGGGGAGCAAGUGCACAGUGACUCCUGUUGUUGAUUUAACAACUGACACUCUUAUUUAUGACGUCAGUAAUCGCCCGAGGCUCUUGUCAUGAGCUGCCAAGGCUAUGGAAGCCUCUUGAGUUCACAAACUCCGACCUUAUUUAGACAAGGCCAUAGUCAAAGUAGUUCUCUCCUCCCUUCAGAGAAAAGUACCUCCUUCUUUGAUGGCCCCUUCUUUCCACUGGGAUCCCGCUCACAGAGAUCUUUCAUUUAGGUCAUUUUUUGCCACAGUGUCUUGGCUUUCCACGCCUAAAAUGCUCUCAUGGGCUUUCUUAGCCAGAUCUGAAUGUGUUAAGGGCUGAUUCUGAGGCCUGAGUGCUGUUUAGGGCCUUUGUCAGUCUAUGAGUCUGCUGUGUGGCCUGUUUCCCAUGUUGAAUGGUUCCCUCCUUUUUAAUUCUAUCAGUUUCUAUUAGCAGACACUUGGUCUUAUUUAUGUGAUCCCUUUGACACUUAAUCUUAUCUUUAUGAUUAAUUAUGAACUUAAACUGAUCACUUUAACUAGUAAGAUGGCAUUGGUACCUGCCAACUUAAUGGGAUUUGGAGUCCCAUGGCAAGUUUUUAGCUUUAGCCUUAAGGGUAAGUGUGAAGGAAUGUGUGCUGAACUGUACAUCUCCUCCUUCUCUUAUUCCCACUCUUAUUUUUAACAGGGAUCAAUUUUCAAUUGGAUUUAAACACAUAAGACCAUUCUUUAUUUUAUUGCUGUAAAACAACCACAUCACUUCUUUGAAGGAUGCAAAACAUAAAUUUAAAAGAAAUAGGGUUAUCUCAGCAAGGUUUCUUUUUAAAGACUUAUUUAUUUGAAAGGCAUAAUG